Molecule: long non-coding RNA, 613 nt
Organism: Arabidopsis thaliana (thale cress)
Lineage: Eukaryota; Viridiplantae; Streptophyta; Magnoliopsida; Brassicales; Brassicaceae
Product: other RNA
Exons: 1
Source: RefSeq
CGGCAAAUAAGACCUCCUCCUCAGAAGCACUUGCGAAGAGACUUACUUCGGCUGCCCACGGCCACCCCGAAAAAAAAUCUGCCACCUCCUAUCAUAAAGAGAGCCAAUCUCUCGAAACCAGAACCAAGAACUUCAUAACCCAGCAAGCCAACCAAACUGGAAUAAACUCGAACAAGCCUCCGGGUGCGACGGUGAUGACUGAGGCGUCUAAUUACAUCUAAAUAGAAGUCUUCAAAAAGCUAUCAGAAAAGAUCUGAAGCAGGACAAGGAGAGAAGCCUAGCCUCCGAGAACCUUCAUCGUGAGAGAACACCACAAAGGUAGGAGAAAGCUAACAACCACAACAAACUACACUAAGGAGGAGAGACCGACUGCCAACAAAGAAGACUAUCACAACAAAAACAUAACGAAACCUCUGAAAAGAAAUGGGGCAAUCCAAAUGGGAAUUGAUGGCUGAAGCAAGGAGACAAGAGACGGAGGGAAAGGCAAGGUUCGGGCACCAACUCAACGAGAACCCACCACCAUAAACCAACAACGGCAAAGAUACCACGCUAACCACUUAAACGGAAAAAGAUCAACAGAUCUAACCGCUCUUACCGCAACCUCAACGAAACA